GACGAACGCUGGCGGCGUGCCUAAUACAUGCAAGUAGAACGCACAGGAUGCACCGUAGUUUACUACACCGUAUUCUGUGAGUUGCGAACGGGUGAGUAACGCGUAGGUAACCUGCCUGGUAGCGGGGGAUAACUAUUGGAAACGAUAGCUAAUACCGCAUAAGAACAUUUACUGCAUGGUAGAUGUUUAAAAGGUGCAAGAGCAUCACUACCAGAUGGACCUGCGUUGUAUUAGCUAGUUGGUGAGGUAACGGCUCACCAAGGCAACGAUACAUAGCCGACCUGAGAGGGUGAUCGGCCACACUGGGACUGAGACACGGCCCAGACUCCUACGGGAGGCAGCAGUAGGGAAUCUUCGGCAAUGGGGGGAACCCUGACCGAGCAACGCCGCGUGAGUGAAGAAGGUUUUCGGAUCGUAAAGCUCUGUUGUUAAGGAAGAACGUGUGUGAGAGUGGAAAGUUCACACAGUGACGGUACUUAACCAGAAAGGGACGGCUAACUACUUGCCAGCAGCCGCGGUAAUACUUAGGUCCCGAGCGUUGUCCGGAUUUAUUGUGCGUAAAGCGAGCGCAGGCGGUUAGAUAAGUCUGAAGUGAAAGGCAGUGUCUCAACCAUUGUAUGCUUUGGAAACUGUUUAACUUGAGUGCAGAAGGGAGAGUGGGAAUUCCAUGUGUUGCGGUGAAAUGCGUAGAUAUAUGGAGGACACCGGUGGGGAAAUCGGUUCUCUUGGUCUGUUACUGUAGCUGAAGCUCUGAAUCGUGGGGAGCGAAAUGGAUUAUGAUACCCUGUUAGCCCUGGGGCGAAUUCCUAUGUGGAUACAAGCUUAUCGAUUCCGUUGUCCUCUGGGGGGGGAAAUAAAAAAACAAAUUUUAUGCCAUAAUAAAGGUAUUAUAAGUGCUGCUUCUGUCGCUUGUACUGUGUCUUUAGUUGUUUGUGUGUGUGUUUUUUUAUGUUUUACUCUCUGUGUGCUGUGCUUCUACUUUCCCUUCCCCCCCUGUCUUCUGUUUUUUUUUUUGUUUGUGUUUGCUGGUUGCUUUAGUUAACCCCUGGCUGCAUGUGUAUGUUAGUAUAGUGCCUCCAUGUAGUAGCUUUGUUAAUGUUCUUGUAUUAGUUCUAUAUAGCCUCACUAGCUAGCUAUUGUAUUUAGUUCCUUUUUGAUUGCUAGUAUCCUAUGCUAGCUACACCUAGAUAGUUCUGAUGCUUUGUGUGUCUACUAUGAGUGGUGAUGAUGAUGUCCUAGAACAUAUGAUAUAUGAUCCCUGAUGGCCCAUGUGACCCCCCUAGUAUGGCUUGAUACCUUAUGUAUAGUGACCGUGAAUGAUAGUGAGCCAUAUAG
Molecule: ribosomal RNA, 1335 nt
Filed under: uncultured Actinomyces sp.
Lineage: Bacteria; Bacillati; Actinomycetota; Actinomycetes; Actinomycetales; Actinomycetaceae
Description: partial 16S ribosomal RNA
Rfam family: Bacterial small subunit ribosomal RNA (bases 1-836)
Source: RNAcentral